Molecule: ribosomal RNA, 1414 nt
Filed under: Mycobacterium sp. ESD
Lineage: Bacteria; Bacillati; Actinomycetota; Actinomycetes; Mycobacteriales; Mycobacteriaceae
Description: 16S ribosomal RNA
Rfam family: Bacterial small subunit ribosomal RNA
Source: RNAcentral
GGCGGCGUGCUUAACACAUGCAAGUCGAACGGAAAGGCCCUUCGGGGUGCUCGAGUGGCGAACGGGUGAGUAACACGUGGGUGAUCUGCCCUGCACUUUGGGAUAAGCCUGGGAAACUGGGUCUAAUACCGAAUAGGACUCCGGCCUUCAUGGGUUGGGGUGGAAAGCUUUUGCGGUGUGGGAUGGGCCCGCGGCCUAUCAGCUUGUUGGUGGGGUAAUGGCCUACCAAGGCGACGACGGGUAGCCGGCCUGAGAGGGUGACCGGCCACACUGGGACUGAGAUACGGCCCAGACUCCUACGGGAGGCAGCAGUGGGGAAUAUUGCACAAUGGGCGCAAGCCUGAUGCAGCCGACGCCGCGUGAGGGAUGACGGCCUUCGGGUUGUAAACCUCUUUCAGCACAGACGAAGCGCAAGUGACGGUAUGUGCAGAAGAAGGACCGGCCAACUACGUGCCAGCAGCCGCGGUAAUACGUAGGGUCCGAGCGUUGUCCGGAAUUACUGGGCGUAAAGAGCUCGUAGGUGGUUUGUCGCGUUGUUCGUGAAAACUCACAGCUUAACUGUGGGCGUGCGGGCGAUACGGGCAGACUGGAGUACUGCAGGGGAGACUGGAAUUCCUGGUGUUGCGGUGGAAUGCGCAGAUAUCAGGAGGAACACCGGUGGCGAAGGCGGGUCUCUGGGCAGUAACUGACGCUGAGGAGCGAAAGCGUGGGGAGCGAACAGGAUUAGAUACCCUGGUAGUCCACGCCGUAAACGGUGGGUACUAGGUGUGGGUUUCCUUCCUUGGGAUCCGUGCCGUAGCUAACGCAUUAAGUACCCCGCCUGGGGAGUACGGCCGCAAGGCUAAAACUCAAAGGAAUUGACGGGGGCCCGCACAAGCGGCGGAGCAUGUGGAUUAAUUCGAUGCAACGCGAAGAACCUUACCUGGGUUUGACAUGCUCAGGACGCCAGUAGAGAUAUUGGUUCCCUUGUGGCCUGUGUGCAGGUGGUGCAUGGCUGUCGUCAGCUCGUGUCGUGAGAUUGGGUUAAGUCCCGCAACGAGCGCAACCCUUGUCCUAUGUUGCCAGCGGGUUAUGCCGGGGACUCGUAGGAGACUGCCGGGGUCAACUCGGAGGAAGGUGGGGAUGACGUCAAGUCAUCAUGCCCCUUAUGUCCAGGGCUUCACACAUGCUACAAUGGCCGGUACAAAGGGCUGCGAUGCCGUGAGGUGGAGCGAAUCCUUGUAAAGCCGGUCUCAGUUCGGAUCGGGGUCUGCAACCCGACCCCGUGAAGUCGGAGUCGCUAGUAAUCGCAGAUCAGCAACGCUGCGGUGAAUACGUUCCCGGGCCUUGUACACACCGCCCGUCACGUCAUGAAAGUCGGUAACACCGAAGCCGGUGGCCUAACCCCUUGUGGGAGGGAGCCGUCGAAGGUGGG